RNAcentral lists this small RNA (235 nucleotides) under Mesocricetus auratus (golden hamster). RNAcentral's name for it is "7SK RNA (ENSMAUG00000003805.1)". The stretch from base 1 to 204 matches the Rfam family "7SK RNA". From Rfam's summary of the family: 7SK was discovered as an abundant small nuclear RNA in the mid-70s but a possible function has only recently been suggested. Lineage: Eukaryota; Metazoa; Chordata; Mammalia; Rodentia; Cricetidae. The record is from Rfam by way of RNAcentral.
GGAGUUGUGGACUGUAGUCUGGUUAUCCUUUGCUUUACAUCUAAUGUCCACAACCUUCCCCAAUAGAGAAGCACCAGUUUCUGGUCAAUGGUAUACAAGUAGCUGUACUCCCCUUCUAGAACCUCCAAACAAGAUCCCAAGAUGAAAAUUUUGAGGCCUGUGAGGCAGCAUGUAGGUCUAGUCUCUUAUAGACUGAACAGAACUUCAAACAGCCCUACAGAGAUGUAUGUAUUGA